AGGACUUGUCUGCAGUUCCACGCCAAUCAUGGAUUGGGCACCACACUGUGACCUGACUUCACCUUUGCCCAGAGUGCGAAAACACAAAUGACGCCAUCAGGGGCCUGCAAGCAUGGAUGCGAUAUCAGAGGUGAAAUAUACAUCGUCUGCAAUAGCCGUCUGAUACAUUUGUUUGAACGCUGCAGGACUUGUCAGGCUACAUGCAAUGUGCAGAAAGCAACAGAUAGAUGCCUUCUGCACCUCACACCCAUGUGUCCACUACAGCACGUAUGUAUGGUCAUGGGAAAGCCAGCCAUCACUAAAUAGAAAGGCAAAAUCCAUCUUGUUGGUUGACAUCUCUUGGCAUCUAGAAAUGAGAAUAGAACAAGUGAUGAAUUAGUCGCAUGUUUAAAUUACCAGAGGCAUUUUACCUACGACAAAAGAAAAAUAAGUAAAGCAGAUGUGGCCACAUCAAACUUCCUGACUGCCACCUUUGUUUUUGCAGUUUCUUUUUUUCUUUUACUAGAGGCCAACUUACAUGUGUGCUUGGCAGCGCACGAAAACUUGCGCCGGCAUGCCUUGCAUUUGCUGCACCUCGCAAGGAAUAUCGGUUUGCAUCUGGAAGAGACGUGUGCCAGGCCACUCCCGCUUAGCUCACUUUAGCCGUUCUGACAGGCAUUGUUUCGUACUUUGUAAUUGGCUGUGCUUUUGAAAUGCUGAAAUAUUGGCAAGCAAUAUUGUUUUAUUUUUAUAGUUGUUAGAUCAGUGCAAAACGUAAUGAAAGAAAGCACAUUCUUCCAUGACACAAAUCUGCCUUGCGGAGUGUUGAUUGCCCCACGCCGUAGUUACAUAGCCAGGCUAUAGCCAGGAAACACUAGACAGCCAAGCAUCGAUAACUCUCUGGAACAGAUAUUCGUGCUUGUGCCGCACAUGGACGUGUACAGUCUGUCCCGCACCAUCUUCGCAUGUGUAGGUGUGCCAGCGCGAGCUUUCACACACCAGCAAGCAUACAUAUAGUUUGGCCUUAAGGCAACUGCAACUGUUGGCACAACUUUCUUUUGCAGCUUUGCAUUCUUAUAUGGUGGGUGACGAGUAGGGGCUGACUUGUGAUGCGUCCUGUGUUAGGGCACUAAGGGUAUGAAAGCGUCACUUGUGCACAAGCAUGAAAUGUUUUACAGGAGCUUAGCUCUAAUGUAUAGCUGCGCACAAUUUCAGCAUGUCAGAAAUAUCAUAAUUAGCCUUGAUGUGCAGCCUAGGUGUGCCAUUAGCCUAGGUGGGCCAUUUGGAUUUGUGCAAAAGUGCCUUUUCUGUUACUGGUAGACAUUGCACUCUGCUACAGAGGUUGUGAUGUAUGUUCAAUUUUAUGUGCCUCCUUAUUUUGUACCCCACCACAUAUAUGUAGAUGUGAUCCUGUUCACAAGUUUAAACCCAAAAAGAAGCACUGCACCUAGCAUUGGUGCAAUCCACCAUUGGUGUGGCUGUUCCUAAGGUUCAGCUCUACUUAGUCAUUCAGGCUGCCCUGUUGUUUCCAUUCGCGCACAAGAGUGCCGAUUGCUGCCAUACACUACAAUGAAAAUGGAGUUCGCCAACAAGCACAUGGGAUCAGCCGGGAAACGAGGGGCUGUGUGAUCUAGGAAGGGACGACGCACAGAGGCCACCCUUUCUACUGUGAUGAGCCAUCCUACGGCUAUGUUUGCUUUCUUCUCGAGGAAACACUCUUUGAGUACGACUGCUACAAGGAAGCAUCAGGAGCUACCGGAGGCAUUCAAUAUGCUCCACCAAGCACUGCUAGUAGACUAUUUAGUUGGUUUGUGCGUGUGAUGGUUGGUUUUGAUUAUAUAUACAUGUUUUGUUAACAAUCAGGUUUGUUGUUUCCUUUC
This 1859-nucleotide long non-coding RNA is filed under the name Dermacentor andersoni. RNAcentral's name for it is "uncharacterized LOC126528990". The record is from RNAcentral. Lineage: Eukaryota; Metazoa; Arthropoda; Arachnida; Ixodida; Ixodidae.